Long non-coding RNA from Homo sapiens (human), 793 nucleotides. RefSeq lists it as uncharacterized. The transcript has 3 exons. NCBI's taxonomy places the organism in Eukaryota, Metazoa, Chordata, Mammalia, Primates, Hominidae. The record is from RefSeq and is a predicted model, not a curated record.
CCUGUCUCAGCCUCUCAGAAGAGAACAUCUUCAUAGGAGAGGAGCUCUAGGAACUGAGAAUGCAGGAAAUUGGAAGAAAUAUACAUUAAUAGCCAAGAAUUUAGACAGGACUGGGGAGCCAGGAACAAACAUUUGAGAUGUUGGGCUUUUAAUGGAGUUGCCACGGAUGACAGCAUCAUGAGAAAUGAGGUUUAAAAAUGGAGGAUUGUUCGAGGAGGGAGGAGGGCUGAUCUGAAAGCCACAAGGAGGACAAAUGGAACACCUACCCCCACUACAGGCUGGAAGGAAACAUGGAUGAACAUGGCCAGGGAGAGAGGAAAAGGAUGAAAGAACAAGGUGCCUACCAUGGAGGAUGCAAAAGAAAUUUUUCCCCGAGAACUGUAGUCCCAGCUAUCUCCUCUGCAGAACUCUGUGCUAAUGAUAGAAUUUGCAUACUAAUGAUAAUUGCAACCAAGAAAGCUGUAUUCUCUUUCUACUCGAGGUAAUUGAAUAAAGAAGUGCUGUGGGGCAAUUACUGCAGUUAGUUAUAGAAAAUUCUCUGAAAAAUAAGACCAAAACAUAUAUACUCAAAUUCAGUAUGAUUGCAUUUAUCAACAUUAUUUGCUUCUUUUAAAUCAUAAUAAUAAUAGACAGAAUUAUUGCUCUGGGUUCUUUGACUGUGUUAACCCAGUCAUCUCAAUGGCUCUAUUAUUUAGGCUUAUAUUUUUCCAUUUUAUGGAUAAGAAAAAAAAGAAGUUUAACAAUGUGCCCAAUAACACAGGUAUGAACUUUAAAAAGGCUAUUAAGAGAUCAU